GACGAACGCUGGCGGCGUGCUUAACACAUGCAAGUCGAGCGACGCUCUUCCUUCGGGGAGAUGACGGAGCGGCGAACGGGUGAGUAACACGUGGGCAACCUGCCCCUAGCUCUGGGACAACACCGGGAAACCGGUGCUAAUACCGGAUACGACAUCGAGCGGCAUCUCUCGAUGUGGAAAGUUUUUUCGGCUAGGGAUGGGCCCGCGGCCUAUCAGCUUGUUGGUGGGGUAAUGGCCCACCAAGGCGACGACGGGUAGCCGGCCUGAGAGGGCGACCGGCCACACUGGGACUGAGACACGGCCCAGACUCCUACGGGAGGCAACAGUGGGGAAUAUUGCGCAAUGGGCGAAAGCCUGACGCAGCGACGCCGCGUGAGGGAUGACGGCCUUCGGGUUGUAAACCUCUUUCAGCAGGGACGAAUUCAGACGGUACCUGCAGAAGAAGCACCGGCCAACUACGUG
This 462-nucleotide ribosomal RNA is filed under the name uncultured bacterium. Its description in RNAcentral is "partial 16S ribosomal RNA". It matches the Rfam family "Bacterial small subunit ribosomal RNA", at positions 28 to 507 of the family's 1533-position model. The record is from RNAcentral.